Molecule: ribosomal RNA, 484 nt
Filed under: uncultured bacterium
Lineage: Bacteria
Description: partial 16S ribosomal RNA
Rfam family: Bacterial small subunit ribosomal RNA
Source: RNAcentral
ACUGAACGCUGGCGGCAGGCCUAACACAUGCAAGUCGAGCGGAUGAAGGGAGCUUGCUCCUGGAUUCAGCGGCGGACGGGUGAGUAAUGCCUAGGAAUCUGCCUGGUAGUGGGGGAUAACGUCCGGAAACGGGCGCUAAUACCGCAUACGUCCUGAGGGAGAAAGUGGGGGAUCUUCGGACCUCACGCUAUCAGAUGAGCCUAGGUCGGAUUAGCUAGUUGGUGGGGUAAAGGCCUACCAAGGCGACGAUCCGUAACUGGUCUGAGAGGAUGAUCAGUCACACUGGAACUGAGACACGGUCCAGACUCCUACGGGAGGCAGCAGUGGGGAAUAUUGGACAAUGGGCGAAAGCCUGAUCCAGCCAUGCCGCGUGUGUGAAGAAGGUCUUCGGAUUGUAAAGCACUUUAAGUUGGGAGGAAGGGCAGUAAGUUAAUACCUUGCUGUCUUGACGUUACCAACAGAAUAAGCACCGGCUAACUUCGUG